GCCCUGAUGGCUCAGUCGGUUGAGUGUCUGACUUUGGCUCAGGUCAUGAUCUCUUGGUUCGUGGGUUCAAGCCCUACAUGGGGCU
RNAcentral lists this transfer RNA (85 nucleotides) under Felis catus (domestic cat). It matches the Rfam family "tRNA". Rfam says of the family: Transfer RNA (tRNA) molecules are approximately 80 nucleotides in length. Lineage: Eukaryota; Metazoa; Chordata; Mammalia; Carnivora; Felidae. The record is from Rfam by way of RNAcentral.